CGAAAUGUAGCUUAAUUGGUAAAGCACCAGCGCGAGAGUUGGAGAUGGAGGUUCGAGCCCUCCUAUUUCGU
This 71-nucleotide transfer RNA is filed under the name Caudoviricetes sp. Its description in RNAcentral is "tRNA-OTHER". It matches the Rfam family "tRNA". Rfam says of the family: Transfer RNA (tRNA) molecules are approximately 80 nucleotides in length. Their secondary structure includes four short double-helical elements and three loops (D, anti-codon, and T loops). Lineage: Duplodnaviria; Heunggongvirae; Uroviricota; Caudoviricetes. The record is from RNAcentral.